Molecule: transfer RNA, 73 nt
Filed under: Haloferula rosea
Lineage: Bacteria; Pseudomonadati; Verrucomicrobiota; Verrucomicrobiia; Verrucomicrobiales; Verrucomicrobiaceae
Also listed under: 2 other names
Rfam family: tRNA
About the family: Transfer RNA (tRNA) molecules are approximately 80 nucleotides in length.
Source: Rfam by way of RNAcentral
GCGCGGAUAGCUCAGUUGGUAGAGCACUCGGCUUUUAACCGAUUGGUCCUGGGUUCGAAUCCCAGUCCGCGUA